AAACCAUCUCCAUUGCCCGAUUCGUGGAAACUCAAAGAAAUCUUUGCCACUGGUGUUGUCCUCGGAACCUACCAAGCGAUCAUGACUGUUGUGUUCUUCUACCUUGCAGCUGACACUGAUUUCUUCUCUGUAUGUUAUUCUCCCCCUAAACUUAAACAAAAAAUGAAAACAUAACAUGAAAUAAACUAACAAAUUUUAUCAUAUAUGUGCAGGAAAACUUCCAUGUUAGAUCAAUCAGAAACUCUCCAACUGAGCUUACAGCUGCACUAUACCUUCAAGUGAGCAUUAUUAGUCAAGCUCUCAUCUUUGUGACCAGAUCAAGAAGUUGGUCAUUCGUUGAACGCCCUGGCCUUAUGCUUGUCGGUGCUUUCUUUGCCGCUCAAUUGGUAAGGAUCUUGAAAAAUGAAUUACUUGACUUGGUUUUCAAUGUGUUGUUCUAUCGGAAACAACCUCUCUACCUUCUCGAAGGUAGGGGUAAGGUCUACGUACACCCCCCGACUCUACAUUAUGGGAUUACAGUGGGUUUGUUGUUGUUGGUUUUCAAUAUGUGGCUACCUGAAAUUCAUAAUUUUCUCCCAUUUUUUCCAGGUUGCUACCGUGCUCGCUGUAUAUGCAAACUGGGAAUUUGCCAGGAUCAAGGGAGUUGGUUGGGGAUGGGCAGCAGUUAUCUGGAUCUACACAAUUAUUACCUAUAUCCCUCUUGAUAUUCUUAAAUUCAUCAUCCGUUUCGCUUUAAGUGGAAGGGCAUGGGAUUCAAUGAUCCAGAACAAGGUAAAAGCAAGCACACAAAUUGCCAUAACAUGAACAUUUUACAUUGAAUUCUAUUCUUGACUAAUUAGUAAUAUCAUUUCUUGAAUAUAUCAGACUGCCUUCACAACCAAGAAAGACUAUGGAAGGGGUGAAAGGGAAGCACAAUGGGCUUUAGCUCAACGUACACUUCACGGUCUGCAGACACCUGAAAACACUGGCCUAUUCAAUGACAAGAACUACAGGGAACUAUCCGAGAUUGCUGAGCAGGCUAAACGUCGUGCUGAAGUUGCAAGGUAUAUGAACAAUAUCAUAGAUGUUAUAGUAAAAAGGGCAGCCUAUUGCACAAAGCGUUCUGCAUUCACGCAACGUCCAGGGAAGGGCCUCACCCCAAGAGGGUGAUGUAGGCAGCCUAAUGCAAGUAUUAGUGGCUGAUUCCAAGGCUUGAACCCUUGACCUAUAGGUCACACGGAGACAACUUGACCGUUGCUCCAAGGGCAGCCCAGUGCACAAAGCAUCCCACAUUCACGAAGGGUCCAGGGAAGAGCCGCACCCCCAAAAGGGUGUGAUGUAGGCAGCCUAAUGCAAGCAUUAGUGGCUGAUUACAUGGCUCGAACCCGUGAUCUAUAGGUCACACGGAGACAACUUGACCGUUGCUCCAAGGACAGCCUGGUGCACAAAGCAUCCCACAUUCACGAAGGGCCACACCCAAAGAGGUGUGAUGUAGGCAGCCUAAUACAAGUAGUAGUGGCUGAUUCCACGGCUCGAACCAGUGACAUAUACAGAGACAAUUGAUUGUCGCUCCAAGAACCGAUAGAUGUUAAAUUACUAUGAUAAAUUGUUUUGAGUGCCACAAUCUAUACUUACAAGAACUAUGUUAUUGCAGGUUGAGAGAGCUACACACUCUAAAGGGACAUGUUGAAUCAGUGGUCAAGCUAAAGGGACUAGAUAUUGAAACCAUCCAACAACACUAUACUGUCUAAAGAAGCUGCAAAUCAAAUCAACUUUCAUUUUUUCCCAUAUAAGGAAGGACAUUUUUCAGCUGGCACUAUGUUGGAUGAGGAUAUUGUUUGGUUGAAGAACAAGGGCUAGCUGUGUAUUUAAAAAAAAUCUUGAGUAUUGAUAGUUAUCUAUAGAAGAAAAUAAAAAAUAAAAAAUUGUAAGUAGUAGUUACUUUUUAUCUUUAUUGUUAUUUAUCCUAUCUAUACAAUGUAUGUUAUCUAUACAAUGUAUGUUAUUUUAUUUGCUUAGAACAAA
This 2004-nucleotide long non-coding RNA is filed under the name Nicotiana tabacum (common tobacco). Its description in RNAcentral is "long non-coding RNA (NTAB_LNC001291)". Lineage: Eukaryota; Viridiplantae; Streptophyta; Magnoliopsida; Solanales; Solanaceae. The record is from RNAcentral.